AAACUGCGAAAAGUAAUGUGACCUGCACUCUUUGUGAAACAUCUAGUAUUUGAACGCAACUUGCACCACUCUGUAAAUGGAGUGGUAUACUUGUUUGAGUAUCCUACAACGAUUACAGCAAUGUAGAAUUGAGGAACAGCAGAGUUCCUUGAAACGGAGAUAUGACAAACUGGGAUAAUAUCCAAACAGUCUGUUUUUUGGCAAUGCCUAACGGAAAAGAUCUCAAAUCAAGUAAGAUGACCCGCCGGAUUUAA
Molecule: unclassified non-coding RNA, 254 nt
Filed under: uncultured fungus
Lineage: Eukaryota; Fungi
Description: sequence contains ITS1
Rfam family: 5.8S ribosomal RNA (bases 1-104)
Source: RNAcentral